This is a small nuclear RNA of Acomys russatus (golden spiny mouse), 158 nucleotides long. RefSeq annotates it as U1 spliceosomal RNA. NCBI's taxonomy places the organism in Eukaryota, Metazoa, Chordata, Mammalia, Rodentia, Muridae. The transcript has a single exon. The record is from RefSeq and is a predicted model, not a curated record.
UUCCCUGCCAGGAGCGACACCAUGAUCAAGAAGGUGGUUUUCCCAGGGUGAGGCUCAUCCAUUGGCCUCAGGAUGUGCUGACCCCUGCGAUUUCCCCAAGUGCAGGAAAGUUGGUACAUAAUUUGUGGUAGUGAAGAGCUGCAUUUGUGCUCUCCCCU